This is a small nuclear RNA of Urocitellus parryii (Arctic ground squirrel), 103 nucleotides long. The record is from Ensembl. Lineage: Eukaryota; Metazoa; Chordata; Mammalia; Rodentia; Sciuridae.
GUGCUUGCUUUGGCAGCACAUAUACUAAAAUUGGAAUAAAACAGAGAUUAGCACAGCCCCUGUGUUAGGAGCCACAGCAAAAAUAUUGAUACAGGCACCUUUG